This 1424-nucleotide ribosomal RNA is filed under the name Bacillus subtilis subsp. subtilis. RNAcentral's name for it is "bacterial SSU rRNA". It matches the Rfam family "Bacterial small subunit ribosomal RNA". The record is from RNAcentral. Lineage: Bacteria; Bacillati; Bacillota; Bacilli; Caryophanales; Bacillaceae.
ACAUGCAGUCGAGCGGACAGAUGGGAGCUUGCUCCCUGAUGUUAGCGGCGGACGGGUGAGUAACACGUGGGUAACCUGCCUGUAAGACUGGGAUAACUCCGGGAAACCGGGGCUAAUACCGGAUGGUUGUUUGAACCGCAUGGUUCAAACAUAAAAGGUGGCUUCGGCUACCACUUACAGAUGGACCCGCGGCGCAUUAGCUAGUUGGUGAGGUAACGGCUCACCAAGGCGACGAUGCGUAGCCGACCUGAGAGGGUGAUCGGCCACACUGGGACUGAGACACGGCCCAGACUCCUACGGGAGGCAGCAGUAGGGAAUCUUCCGCAAUGGACGAAAGUCUGACGGAGCAACGCCGCGUGAGUGAUGAAGGUUUUCGGAUCGUAAAGCUCUGUUGUUAGGGAAGAACAAGUACCGUUCGAAUAGGGCGGUACCUUGACGGUACCUAACCAGAAAGCCACGGCUAACUACGUGCCAGCAGCCGCGGUAAUACGUAGGUGGCAAGCGUUGUCCGGAAUUAUUGGGCGUAAAGGGCUCGCAGGCGGUUUCUUAAGUCUGAUGUGAAAGCCCCCGGCUCAACCGGGGAGGGUCAUUGGAAACUGGGGAACUUGAGUGCAGAAGAGGAGAGUGGAAUUCCACGUGUAGCGGUGAAAUGCGUAGAGAUGUGGAGGAACACCAGUGGCGAAGGCGACUCUCUGGUCUGUAACUGACGCUGAGGAGCGAAAGCGUGGGGAGCGAACAGGAUUAGAUACCCUGGUAGUCCACGCCGUAAACGAUGAGUGCUAAGUGUUAGGGGGUUUCCGCCCCUUAGUGCUGCAGCUAACGCAUUAAGCACUCCGCCUGGGGAGUACGGCCGCAAGACUGAAACUCAAAAGGAAUUGACGGGGGCCCGCACAAGCGGUGGAGCAUGUGGUUUAAUUCGGAAGCAACCGCGAAGAACCUUACCAGGUCUUGACAUCCUCUGACAAUCCGUAGAGAUAGGACGUCCCCUUCGGGGGCAGAGUGACAGGUGGUGCAAUGGUUUUCGUCAGCUCGUGUCGUGAGAUGUUGGGUUAAGUCCCGCAACGAGCGCACCCCUUGAUCUUAGUUGCCAGCAUUCAGUGGGGCACUAUAAGGUGACUGCCGGUGACAAGCCGGAGGAAGGUGGGGAUGACGUCAAAUCAUCAUGCCCCUUAUGACCUGGGCUACACACGUGCUACAAUGGACAGAACAAAGGGCAGCGAAACCGCGAGGUUAAGCCAAUCCCACAAAUCUGUUCUCAGUUCGGAUCGCAGUCUGCAACUCGACUGCGUGAAGCUGGAAUCGCUAGUAAUCGCGGAUCAGCAUGCCGCGGUGAAUACGUUCCCGGGCCUUGUACACACCGCCCGUCACACCACGAGAGUUUGUAACACCCGAAGUCGGUGAGGUAACCUUUAGGAGCCAGCCGC